GCCCGGCUAGCUCAAUCGGUAGAGCGUGAGACUCUUAUCCACGGGUUCUCUCCAGUGUACAUCUCAAGGUUGUGGGUUCGACCCCCACGUCGGGCU
Non-coding RNA from Podospora conica, 96 nucleotides. Lineage: Eukaryota; Fungi; Ascomycota; Sordariomycetes; Sordariales; Podosporaceae. The record is from the annotation of a GenBank genome assembly.